CAUAAUUACAAUAAUAUAAAAUAUAAUACAAGACGGGUAUUGCUAAAAAGAGUACAGUAUUCGAUUUUUUCGCUGAUAUUUAUUGUAUGAACGAUUCCAUUACGAUUAGCAUUACAGUUUCGAAACUUCUACCAAUGGCUGUGAUUGGUCGCCCCAUGUUGGCGUCCUCUCAUUUCAACCAAUCAGACACAUCGAUUUGUGACGCAGUGCAGCAUUUCUCUUCGAAAAUUUAUCCGUUAUGCACGUGUCUGCAACAGACGUAGGUAUCGGCCGAUAGCAGAAUAUACCGAACAUUGCCGAGUGUUGCCGAAGUGCCGACCGGUUUACGAUGGGAAGGAAGGUCUCGCCAUUGCUCUCUCGAGCGUCGAAGUGAGAAGAUGUGUCGAAGUCGUGCUCCCGUAUAAGCAAUACAAAAAUAUUUAUUUGAUUUCAAAAAGGCGCCAUGGGAUACGACGCCAUUGAUAUUGGUUCGAAAUAUAAUUUUGUAAAGGGUAUAUAAUAUAAUUGGUAAGGUUUAUUAUUGCUUUUUUUGAGUCGUUGUUAAGUGUAAGCAUUUUUAAUAAUUAAUUGGUACGAAAG
Osmia bicornis bicornis is the source of this 579-nucleotide long non-coding RNA. RefSeq lists it as uncharacterized. The record is from RefSeq and is a predicted model, not a curated record. NCBI's taxonomy places the organism in Eukaryota, Metazoa, Arthropoda, Insecta, Hymenoptera, Megachilidae. The transcript is spliced from 3 exons.